UUAAAUCUUAAACUAUAAAUGUGAACAACAGAGAUAUGAUAGAUCUUUGGACUUUAUCAAGUGUAAAGAGGAAUACAUUGUUUAUUUGGUUUGGUAAAGCAUCCACACUUUGGUGAAAGUUUUUGACCCUGAGCAUAGAUACUUCCAUUCCAGUCUACUGUGAUGAAUAAGAGUGUAAACAAAGUAAGUGAUAUAAAAACACAAUGUAACAGAAAUGACUGAAUAUAGUCACCACAUGACAGUAUUUUUAUACUACUGCUGUUUCCUAAACAUUAAAGGGAUACUACACCAAAAAAAAAAAAA
Molecule: long non-coding RNA, 303 nt
Organism: Rhinichthys klamathensis goyatoka
Lineage: Eukaryota; Metazoa; Chordata; Actinopteri; Cypriniformes; Leuciscidae
Exons: 2
Source: RefSeq, a predicted model, not a curated record